GAUGAACGCUGGCGGCGUGCUUAACACAUGCAAGUCGAACGAACCUUCGGGUUAGUGGCGGACGGGUGAGUAACGCGUGAGAAUCUGCCCUCAGGAGGGGGACAACAGCUGGAAACGGCUGCUAAUACCCCAUAUGCCGCGAGGUGAAAUGAAUUUCGCCUGAGGAUGAGCUCGCGUCUGAUUAGCUAGUUGGUGUAGGUAAUGGCUCACCAAGGCAUCGAUCAGUAGCUGGUCUGAGAGGAUGAUCAGCCACACUGGGACUGAGACACGGCCCAGACUCCUACGGGAGGCAGCAGUGGGGAAUUUUCCGCAAUGGGCGAAAGCCUGACGGAGCAACGCCGCGUGAGGGAUGAAGGCCUCUGGGCUGUAAACCUCUUUUAUCAAGGAAGAAGAUCUGACGGUACUUGAUGAAUAAGCCACGGCUAAUUCCGUG
Molecule: ribosomal RNA, 433 nt
Filed under: uncultured bacterium
Lineage: Bacteria
Description: bacterial SSU rRNA
Rfam family: Bacterial small subunit ribosomal RNA
Source: RNAcentral